RNAcentral lists this ribosomal RNA (745 nucleotides) under uncultured bacterium. RNAcentral describes it as "bacterial SSU rRNA". It matches the Rfam family "Bacterial small subunit ribosomal RNA", at positions 33 to 773 of the family's 1533-position model. The record is from RNAcentral.
ACGCUGGCGGCAGGCCUAACACAUGCAAGUCGAGCGGUAGAGAGAAGCUUGCUUCUCUUGAGAGCGGCGGACGGGUGAGUAAUGCCUAGGAAUCUGCCUGGUAGUGGGGGAUAACGUUCGGAAACGGACGCUAAUACCGCAUACGUCCUACGGGAGAAAGCAGGGGACCUUCGGGCCUUGCGCUAUCAGAUGAGCCUAGGUCGGAUUAGCUAGUUGGUGGGGUAAUGGCUCACCAAGGCGACGAUCCGUAACUGGUCUGAGAGGAUGAUCAGUCACACUGGAACUGAGACACGGUCCAGACUCCUACGGGAGGCAGCAGUGGGGAAUAUUGGACAAUGGGCGAAAGCCUGAUCCAGCCAUGCCGCGUGUGUGAAGAAGGUCUUCGGGUUGUAAAGCACUUUAAGUUGGGAGGAAGGGCAGUAAAUUAAUACUUUGCUGUUUUGACGUUACCGACAGAAUAAGCACCGGCUAACUCUGUGCCAGCAGCCGCGGUAAUACAGAGGGUGCAAGCGUUAACCGGAAUUACUGGGCGUAAAGCACGCGUAGGUGGUUCGUUAAGUUGGAUGUGAAAUCCCCGGGCUCAACCUGGGAACUGCAUUCAAAACUGACGAGCUAGAGUAUGGUAGAGGGUGGUGGAAUUUCCUGUGUAGCGGUGAAAUGCGUAGAUAUAGGAAGGAACACCAGUGGCGAAGGCGACCACCUGGACUGAUACUGACACUGAGGUGCGAAAGCGUGGGGAGCAAAC